RNAcentral lists this microRNA precursor (105 nucleotides) under Canis lupus familiaris (dog). RNAcentral's name for it is "mir-8834 microRNA precursor family". It matches the Rfam family "mir-8834 microRNA precursor family". The record is from Rfam by way of RNAcentral. Lineage: Eukaryota; Metazoa; Chordata; Mammalia; Carnivora; Canidae.
AGGAGGAACAGCCCCAGUGGCGGGGCCAGCUCUGGAGCCCUGGAGUCAGCCCCCGCAGUAGCUCCAGAGCUCUCGGUCUGCAGGGCCUGGAGGCUCCGGGGCGGG